RNAcentral lists this long non-coding RNA (567 nucleotides) under Sarcophilus harrisii (Tasmanian devil). RNAcentral describes it as "lncRNA (ENSSHAG00000023269.1)". Lineage: Eukaryota; Metazoa; Chordata; Mammalia; Dasyuromorphia; Dasyuridae. The record is from RNAcentral.
AGUUCCCCCUCAGUCUAUGUAGAGCUGACCAGGGAAGAACACUUUGGAGGGCUGUUGGAACAAGGGAAGUAACCUCAAAUGCUCCAGGGGACUGCUUUGAACGGAUUCUUAACCUAAGGCCUGGGGAGUGACAAAAGUAGGAAAAGAGAGGAAGACACUAUCUGAAGGACCUUGGAGGACCUCAGGCCCAAGCAAACACACUAAGUUGCCUGCUCUAAGCCUUUACCUGGAAUGGGUUCCUCCUCAAUUCUCUUCUACCUCCAUUAAGUUCUAGUUGAAAAAAAAGAAGGGGAAAGAGAAGCUCUCUGCUGGAUCAAAGGCAAGGGAACAGUCCUUGAGGAAGCUUAGCCAGAGAAAGAAGACUGGUGACUUGAUCAGACUCCGCUCACCUAGGCUCCCCAACCCAGGGGUAGGGCUAACACAGUUAUUCCCUGCAAUGAAGAAUAAGAGAGAAAAAAAAAAAAUCAGAAAAACUAGCCAGCAUAGCCACCACAUCUGAUGAUCUACACGUAGCAGGUAAGCUCUGGCCACAUUCCCACUGUAGGAGGUAGGCUGCAUCUCCCUUUG